UUGUUUUAGCAGGAAAAGAAGUCAAUGGUGAUCCUAAGUCAAUUGAGAAGUGUGGAAUUGGCAACAGUCCAUCAAGUGCUAUUACUUUAGCUGAUUGCAGGAAAGAGUUUUGUUGCAGCAAUCCUAAUGCUUCGCCAAGUAUUAUCCACUGGAAAGAUUGCACUGCUUGUCCUACCUUAUGUAUCAAUCUGUGCUGAAAAUGCUGAACAUUUGGAAUCACUCUGUCGGCCAAUGAAACAAGCAUGUUUGCAGUUUCUAUGGGAGCCAAGGUGGUGGAACACUUCCUAAGGAUACAUCUAUUGUAGUAUGUACAAUUGAGAAGGCAAACUCUCUAUAAACAGAUUAUUAGAAGAAAGUCGACUUUCAGAAGUUGGAAUUAUUGUAAUUGAUGAGCUUCAUAUGGUGAACAUCUGUUGU
Long non-coding RNA from Nymphaea colorata (pocket water lily), 417 nucleotides. RefSeq lists it as uncharacterized. Lineage: Eukaryota; Viridiplantae; Streptophyta; Magnoliopsida; Nymphaeales; Nymphaeaceae. The record is from RefSeq and is a predicted model, not a curated record. The transcript is spliced from 3 exons.